GUUUAGGAUUUAUUUAGAAUUUAAGAUUUGAUUAGGGUUUGGUUUAGGGUUUAAAGUUUGUAUUAGGAUUUGGUUAGGAUUUUAUUUAGGAUUUGGAUUAGGGUUUGGUUUAGGGUUUGGUUAGGAUUUGGUUUAGGAUUUGGUUGGGAUUUGUUUUAAGAUUUUUUUAGGAUUUAAUUUAGGAUUUAGGAUUUGAUUAGGAUUUGAUUUAGGAUUUAGGAUUUGUAUUAGAAUUUGGUUAGGGUUUUAUUUAGGGUUUGGAUUAGGAUUUGGUUAGGGUUUGAUUUAUGGUUUAGAAUUUGGUUAGGAUUUGGUUAGGGUUUGGUUUAGGAUUUGGUUGGGAUUUGGUUUAAGGUUUGUUUAGGAUUUGAUUUAGGAUUUAGGAUUUUAUUAGGAUUUAAGAUUUAAUUAGGUUUGGCCUAAAGUUUCAAUGAAGUUCAAUAGGAUUUUAACUAGAAUUAAAUUAAGAUUGAAUUGAAAUGUAUUUGAGUGAUAUUUGUGAUCAUUCUAAUAUUUCAUUAAGAAUUCUUAUUGUUUGUUUGAAAUUUUUUUGAGGUUUUUUUGAAUUUGAUUAAGCUUACUUAGUAUUAUUAUGGUCUAAUUAGAGCAUUGUUAGUAUUCUAUUAGAAUUAGGAUUUUGUUAUUGUAAAUUACAUUCUUCCUUCCAUAGCUAGGUACCUAGAGCAUUCUCAAGCAAGACUUCACAUAUUACGACAAUGUUCCAUUAUAAGAGAAGGGACAUGAUUUGAUGCAGAUGUUGAAGCAGCUCCAAUCAUUUCUAUAUCUUCACUUCUUACCAAUUUUGUUGCUCCUUGUGGUGGUAAAUUGAGUUGAUGCAUCGUAAGUAUUAACUCCCUCAAUUGCUCUUGCAUUUGUGCCAUUGCAUUCUUCAUUUCAACAAGUUCUAUCAUGAUAACAAUUAGAAAAAAAAAUGUCUAAUAUUGCUCAAAACAAGUAGAAGAGAGGACUUGAGAAUAAAGAAAAUACUAAUGACAAUAUCAAUUUAGAAGAAGGUAAUCCGUAACUUCUAAUAUGCUUAUGUCUUAUCAAGAGAAAGGGGUAGUCGACUCUUAAUCAAGAUUAGACAAAUCUCUAAUAUUGUAAGUUCACUCUUGUCAAUUUGUCAAGGAUAAGAGCUUGAUAAAAAUAAAUAAAUAAAUAAGACUUUUCUCAAAGUAAGAUGAUAAAAUAGAAAUAACUUAAUAUGUAUAUUAAGAAAGAAACUAGAAUGGCAACUGCCAAAAGACAAGAAAACUAGAAACCCUUGAAACUAGACUAGAAGUAAGAAAGGAGUUGACAAGAGUGGAGAAGGCUUCACUCUUGCCUCUAUAUAUAUUAUCUACCUAAGAGCUAUUUGGCAACAUUCUAUAGGACUUCCAAAAAUGUGUUGACUUUACACAAUAUGUAUCUUAACUUGUAAGGCAAGUUUUCUAUGUGGGCGCCACAUAAUUAGCUUGUUCCACAAGCUACUAACAUGUGUGGCACAUGGUUAACUUGUUGAUUAAGUUUCUAACCUAUCAAUCAAGUAUAAACACAUGUAAAAUCAAAGCAGUGUCUAUGAAGCUUCUAGGAAGCUUUUCUAGAAGAUAUUAUGAAAUUAAUCUACUUUUACCUACUUCUAUUUAUUCUUAUCACCUAAGUAACAAUUACAAUAAAUAUAUGUCCAUGAUUGUAGAAUCCAGGAAGAAGAUGCAAAAGAGAUAAGCUUUUAAGCUAUUUGAUAGAUGUUCAUAUAUGUAGAUAGAUAGAACUUGUAAAAUCUUCUAUCUUCAACCUUUAAAACUUCACUUGGAUGUUUAGCUUGGGAUUGGUUGGAGAGAAGUUAUUUAUUUUGAAAAUUUAUUAAUAAAUAUGAGAUUGAUUAGAAAUGCAAUAACAUGAGUUUAUCUUUAAUGUGGCAUGAAUAUUUGUAAAAAAAAAUAUUUUUUAUUAUAAAAUUGUACUGUCAACUAUUAUAGUAGAUAAUUUCCUAACAAUACUAUUGUGAAAAGACGACAAGAAAAGAAAGCUUGGACUCCUUGCUAUCUUGAUAUGAAAUUCUUUUUUACAACUAAGAUUAUUUAGAGCCACUCUUAUAUAAUAGUAGUUUUGUAUAUCAAUUAAAAUUAGGAACAACCUUGCUUGAAGUGAUAUUCAAGUAAAUAUUUUUUUUUAGUUAUUUUUAUUUUAUUUUCUUUCUUUGUCAGAAGGUAUUUUAAAUGGAUUAUAAGUUGAGGAGCCAAAGUAUUUUAAUUUGAUUUUUUAAAAAAUAAUAUGUUAAAAUUAUGAAUCGAAGUGAAUAUUAUAUCUAUAAUCAUGCUGAAUGCAUUGUUUUACUAGAUCUAGAUAAAUUAAAUUAGCUGCAUCUAUAGAAAAUCUGAAGAAAGCCAUUAAAAAAUCUACUCCAAAAUUUAGAAGAAUUGAGGUUCAACAAUUGGACAAAUAAGACCUACCUAUAAUAUCAUAAGAUAUAGUUGUAAUCAAUCCAUUGGAAUUAAAUCCUAAUUAAGUGGUAGAAGAAGAAGUAUUAUACUUAAAAUCUUUUUAAUUCUUUUAUAGAAAUAAAUCAAAAAGAAAAAGAAUUAAGACUUAAUUUUUCUUCAAUGGAUUGUGAAAAGAAAGCCUCUCCAAAUUAUGUACUCAUAAAUUCCAUGGUUUAAUUAAGAAAUUUAUCUAUUUUAAUUCUAUAGGCAUUGCAAGCAGUUGCUAUGCCUCACAAUCUUUCAAUUUGUAAAAGAACUAGAGACAAUGAUCUAUUUGCAUGUAUAAAGAGAUUCAUGGAGCUUCUCUUGACGUACUUAAUUACUAACCAAGGAUAUUAUCUAAUAUGAUUUUUGAGUAAAUUAAAGGAUGGAGCCUAUGAGUGAUAUAAAAACCAUCUCCUUUAAAUCUUCAAAAAUUGGAACAUGCUCAUGGGAGUAUUCUUAGAAUAAUUUAGACUAGAAGUGAAUCAAAGUAAUGUCCUUAUAAUCCUUUCUUCUUUGAAACAAGAAAAAGGAGAAGAAAUCAUUGCAUAUAUUAAGCACUUUCAAUUGAUAGUUAGUAGAUUUGUAGGAAUCCUUCUCAUAGAUGAUACUUUUAUUCAUUUUUUUAUUUAAGGAUUUAAUAGUAAAAUCUCAAUUAGAAAAAUAUUAAAAAGUCAACCAAAAUAUCUACAUAAUGAUAAAGAAAUUAUAAAGUUUAUUGAAGAUAUUGAUAAGCAACAAAAAUAUAAGUAAAGGAAAGAAAACCAUAAAAUUUCUAAUUUUAUCUCCAUCUAUGCUUAAAAUAUUUGAAGCAUCCAAAAAAACCUUCAUAGAUUGAUUAAAAAUUAUUUUUAAUCAAUGAAUUAUUAUCCCUCAUCUUUAAAGAUUAGCCACCAUCUAGCCUUCAAGAACUUACAUAUCCAAAGGAUUGAAAUAGGUGGAAAGAGUAACUCAAAAAUAAAGUCUUUUAAAGCCAAAGGAGAUUUCAAAAUGAACUUGCAUAACAUAUGUAAGCAAUGCAAGAAUAAAUGAUUUUAUUAAUUAAAAGUCAAAGUUUCAAAAAAGUUCUACCAUCCAUAGAAUCAGGUAGGCAUACUUUAAGAUUGUGGUGCACUCAAUGUAGCCAAUUGAGGCACAUUAGUCAAUUUUGUUCUAUUCUACAAUGUUACCUACAAAAUCUCAGAUAGCAAUAAACUUAUGUUACUCUUUAUAGAAGCCAAAUCAAUAUAGGAUCUAAUUCUCAUCCACAAAGCCAUAAAUUUCCUAAUCAAGGUUUUAAAAACCAACCAAGAAAAAGGUAGGAAGUACAUUACAUUUGUAGCAAAAAACAUCCACUUGAUAGUUGAUGGAUAGAAAAUAGAGUUGUUUUUGAAAAUCAAAGAAGUAACCAUUCUAUGGAAGUAUAUAGACAACUUAAUAAGGUAGUUCCAUUGAAUUUUAUAUAAGAAAAUUAUCAACAAUAAGCCAAAGAUAAUCUAAAAGAGGCAAUGGAACCUACUUCAAACAAUAUAUUAAAACCUUCCAACCUUUUCUAUGAUUAUAAUAACAAUCAUCAAAAUCAACAUCUCUCAUUGAGUUUAAAGAGUAAAAGAGAAUAUAUCUCUCUAAAUUUGGAUCAAAUUUAAUAUGGCUACCAAAACAAUGGCCACAGUUUAUAAGAUGUGAGGUAUUUAAAAAUACCAAAUGAAAAAAAAUCCACAAUUUAUGAGAGAUCAGCCUCCUUCUUAAAUUAAUUAUAUCUCUCAUAAAAAAAUUCUCACAAGAAAAAAGAACUUUCUAAUAUGCUAGCCUUAGUAGUUAUGAUAAGGUCUAGAUAUACUAGUCUUCUCCUUUAUACUUUAAUUGAUAGUAAGAAUAGUUUGAAAGACUCUCUCCACUUUUUGGAUUUAAAUGAAGCCAAAAAGAAUACAAUGGCUAAUGAUAGGGCUUGUAAAGAAAUACUUUAUGUUUUAGAAUCCAAGUCAAUUAGGCUAUUAAAAAACUUGAGAGAAAGUAUCCAAAUAAGAGAGUUUUUUUGUAAAAGAGAGUAGAAAGAACCUAGAGUUUUUGACCUUAAAUGUAACAAUUCACUAUGAUUUAAAAGUAAAAACUAAAUUGAACUAUAUGAUUUAUAGGAGGAUUUAAAAAAAUCAAGGCUAAUAUAAUAAUAACUCAAUUAUUAGAGUUUCUUUUUAAUAAUGAGACAUAGCUUUAAAAUGAAAUUUUUUAUUAAGAGAUGCCAAAGGUUUAAAGCAAAAUUCAAGCCAAUGUUAGAAUUAUUCAAGAAAUACAAGAGAUGAAGGCAAUUGAAUUAGAAGUAUCUAUAGUAGAUAAAAUCAUAUCCUAUACUAUUGUGAAUGGAGGUAGUGGAUUAAAUAUUAUACUAAUGAGAAUUUUAAAAAAACUAAGACUUAAUAUCACUUGACCUUCUUUCUAUGUGAUUAACAUAACUAAUCAUAGAUAAGAUAUUCUUUUGGCAUAGAUUAGUGAUUAUAUAAUGAUGAUGGGUGGUGAAAAAUAUUUUCUUAUAUUCCAUGUUAUUCACAUGUAUCGAAGAAAAAAUUCCUAUUCUUUGCUCUUUAAUAGAUCUUGGUUGAGGGCAACUAAUGCAAAAAUUAAUUGAGGCAGUAAUAAGCCUCAUAUUAUUUAUGGUCCAUUGAAAAACCUUAUAAAAAUACUUAUUUAAUUUCAAGGAAUAUUAUUGGAUAAAAUCUUGUCCUACUUUUCAAAAGAUGAGAAUCUAAGUCCAUAACUUAAUAAAGAGUUAAAAAAGAUAGUUAGAUUUGUAGAUUUGAGAACUAAGAUAGUAACUCACUUAAGAAUUAUCCAAAAAAUUUCAUUAGGAUGUAUCCGUCUUAGAUUAUAUGAUUGAAAAGAUGAUGGAAAUUUCAUCAAAUGGUUAAAAAAUCACCCUAAUUCAAAUGCAAAUAAAAUCAUGAAUAUUAAUUUUAUAGAUAAUUUUGCUAUUUAGUAACAAGAUAAAUUGGAAGUAAAUCUACUAACUUUGGUGGACAACAUCAACUAUGAAGAUAUUUAUGAGGUGAAUAUUGAUGGCAUUCAAUUUUACAAUAUAGAAGAUAUAAUAGAUGAGAUUAAUCUUAAUCCAAUCUUACACUUCAAACAAACUUCUAAUGGAUGUAAGAUUAAAAGUGAGGUGGUAAAUUAUCCACAAAUAUCAAAUGAUUGAUAUAAAGGAUCUACAUAACAAUAUCAUGUUCAUAAUAUAGAUUAUAAGUUCAUGGAUGUGUCUCUUGACAAUGAAGAAUCAAAACUAAUCUAGAUAGGAGUUUAAUUAAUGGAAGAUGAAUUAUUGAAGUAAAAAUCUUUGAUAAUAGAAUAUUGGAAUGUGUUUGCUUGAUCUUACAAAGAUCUAAAGGAAUAUCUUUUGAAGUAGCUCAACAUUUUAUAUCACUACUUUCAAAUUCAAUCUCAGUUAGACAAAAAGAGGUGAAGUUUGAAUAGAGUAAAAAAUGCCAAAAAACAUUUGAUAUCCUUAAGGCAAAAUUUAGUUCUAUUUCCAUCUUAAGACCACCUAAUUGGUCAUUGUCCUUCUAUGUACUUUGUGAUGCUUUGUCCAUGGUAGUUGGAAGCACAUUAUAUCAAGUAAGUGAAAAUAUAUAUAUAUAUAUAUAUAUAUAUAUAUAUAUCUUAUAAUAUUUGAUAGUAGAUAACUAAAUUCUAUGGAAAAGAAUUAUAUCACCACAAAAAAGAAGUGACUUGCCAUGGUUUUUUUUGUUAAGAAGUUUAAUACUACCUCCUUUUGAACCUAGUAGUAUUUUUUGUUGACCACAUUAGGCAAUUAAAGAAUUCUAAAGGUGUGAAAGAUAUCUUUCAAAUAGAUUUUUAAAUUUUUUGAAUAUCCAAAAAAAUUAUACCAAAAUCUAUAAAUAUUUAUUUUAGUAAAUAUUCAAAGGGCAUAAAAGUAUUGGUCAUGUAAGAGGUUGUCAAGUGGACCAUCUGAGUUUAAAUUUGAUAAGGACAAUAGGCUAUUCCAAUGAGCUAGUGUUGGUACAAGGAAGACUAAUAUUAUAUACUCAAUGGAUAUGUAGGCCUUAAAGGCUUGAUACUAAAAUCCUCUCAUACUGAGGAAGAGUCUAAGGAUAUCAUAAUUUUAAUUCUUAGACUUAUCUUUAUCUUUCUAAAAACUUUAGUUUUAAAUAUAUAUAUAUAUAUAUAUAUAUAUUCUAUCUUCUUUGUUUAGUUCUAUAGAAUAAAACGUAUUUUAAUUCUUUCAAAUUAGUAAAAAUUCAUUCCUUCUUAAUUUAAAUAAUUAUUAAUAUAUAUAUAUAUAUAUAUAUAUAUAUAUAUAUAUAUAUAUAUUUUAUCCAUAGCAUUUUGAAAGAUCAGUUUUAGGUUCUUCUUUUUUGGAAGUCAUCUCAGAUGGUUACCAUGUGUGAGUCAUCAAAAUAACUUACUUGGAUAUUUAAUACAAAAAAUAUAAUUAUUAUGCUUAAAAUUACAAAAUAUAGUGAGUAGUGUAAAAAACUAUAAUAAUUUCUUAUAAAUAGAAAAUUAGAAUUUUUGUUAUAAAAAUGGAAUCUUAAUAAGUCUUGGAGGCAAUUAUUUGAGUUGAUUUAAAAUUUUUACUCAUUAUUGAGUAUUAAAGGCUAGUUAUUAAGAUUAAUAUCUAUAUUGGCUUUCUAUCUAUAUAUAUUAUUUAUAAAAAAUUAUAAAUGUUAAUUAGUAGUUAGAAGAAGCAUGAAAAAGAACCUCAUAUCUUUUUAAUCAUUAAUAUAAAAAAUAAGAUUUAUAUUUGAUUUAAAUUGAUUUUAUUAUUAUAAAAAAUCAAAACGAUAAAAAAUAUAUUAUUUAAUUAAUAAUAGUAUUAUAAAAAUAUUUUAAAUUUUAAUUUUUUUUUUUAUGAUUUUUAGAAAUUUUUAGAGCAAUUUUCAAGACUUUGGUAAAAAUAGGUUUUUCUACUUUAGGAGCCAUUAUGAAGAAAUAGAAUUUGAUCUUUUUUGUUCUUACUAUUUGCUUCUUUCACUUCACACCACCAAUUACAAGAAACUUUGAAUUAAUGCCAUCUUAUAAUUUGAAUUGAGGAUGUGAAAUUUAUCCUCAUAAUCCACUUAACUAUAUUUUCUUGCAUGCAUGGCAUAGGAAUUGAAAAGUUUUGAUAUAGAAGUUCAAAGCCUAGAGUGCAAGGCCAGCUUGUUUAUUUGAAUGAAUUUCUCAAGAAUCUUUCUGUUUUUGUAGGUAAUCGUGGCAAUUGAGAGGAUCAUCAAUUAUAUCUCAAAUUCCUUUUCCACUUGCAUAAUUUUUCUUAGGAAUGUCAAACAUUAAUCUUUGUUAACUCUUAAUUUUUGAAAUGAUCAUUGAAUGCUCCGUAAUGCUAUUUUUUUUAAUUUGUGUGUAAAUCAAGGAGAAUUAUCUAUGUAGCCCUAGGUAGUAACAGAGUUCUCAGAGAACAGGGACCUUUUGACGUCAUUCUCCAUAAAGUAUAUCUUGUAUACUAAUCCCAUUCUUGCAUACCACUCCAGCUCGGUUAUUCUAUUUUGUUUCUUUGUUUUGGACAUCAUUUAAAAAAAAAUUAUAUGCAUAUAUAUAAAUGUCCUAUGUUGGUGAAGGUUCUUGGCAUGAUUCAUGUAUCGCCGCAUCUGGUUAUACUCUGCUUCUUAGUUGCAAGUCUAUCACUUUGGUAGUGUAAUGUUCAUUGUGCGUUGGUUUGGUGUGCGAGUACAGUUGGCCGAAAGAGAGUGGCGGGAAGAGCUGGAGGUGAGGCAAACGUAGGAACAGAUAGGCAAAAAUGAGCCCCUUCUGUUUCAUGCCUUGUAUUAUAAGAAUUUUAUGUCAUUUCAAAGUCUUGUCUCUUAGGGAAAUGAUUUAUUAAGUGGGGGUGCCUAUCUCACCCAGUAUAUGUCAUAAUUCUUGUACCGAACACCAGCCCUAGUCCCUUCGUUCUUUUUCCAAUAUCAGGAGGUUUAUUGUCUAUCUUUCUGGAUGACCGAGUUUGUGAGACUGUUGGUAUUGCAGGACUAUGUGCAAAAAUUCCCAAAUGUCACUGUUUAGAUCCACCAGCUGCAAUUCAGAAACUCAGAAAUCGACAUUCUAUGUUGCAAGAUGUAGCAGACUUGAAGCUCACUGAUUCUGAUGGUACCAUAUUUUUAUUUAUUUGUAGAAUACACCCCGUGCCUAGGUUUUGACAUGUAGGAGUGAUUGCAUUUCUUAUAAAUUUGUAUUACUUGAGUAGACUUCACAAUUCCUUUCAGGUUCAGUUGCUUUACGACCUUCCGUGUCUGAAAACCCCUCACAUUACCUUAACAUUCAUGAAUUUCAUGUCAUAUUCCAGUGCUAGAACUUUUUCAUUGAGGGAUAUGGUUAGGAGUAGAAUCGUGAAGAGAGUUUUGUUAUUUGGUGAAAUCAUGAAUAUUUAGAAUGAUCCAUGAUCGCUCAUUCUUCUAACUAGGGUGAUGUUUAUUGAGGGUGUAAAGUUCUUAUGAGUCAAAUUCUGAGUUCUUUUUGUUUGAAUUUUAACAGGAUUUGUCACUGUUCAAUUUUGGAAUGAUCCGAGAAGUGGGUGCUGGAAAUUGUUAUUACAUUAUCGACAUAAAUUACUUUCCCGGCAUGUAUUAUUGAAUUUCUUUUCAAAGUAUUCAGCCUCACUACUUUCUUGAGCACCUAUACAUUUAUCUAAUGCGAUAAAAGAUAAAAUCCUGUUCUGAAGUUUCCUCAUUGAGACUUUUGUGGUGUCUGAAUCUUAUUUGUUUUAUUUCUGUAAUCUAUGUCUAGCAAACUUUGCUUUUCUUCAGGCUAUGGUAAAUUGCCAGAAUAUGAGUUGCUGAUCACCGAUUAUCUAGUAGACUUGGCAAGAAGGAAAGGCAAGACGCUUGAAUCAGCAGGACCUGUCCUUGAUUUUUGAGGAUUAUGCUAGUGCAUGCUGAAAGUCUUUUACUCUUUUCUUAUUUAUUUAUUUUUCAUCUUAAUUUUUUAAAAAUCAUUUCGGUCCAUAUAUAUAAUUGCAAGGUCUGUUAAUAACCAUUAGGGGAUUUGAGCACGUUUUGGAUGCUCUCAGUGUUGAAAGCCGCAGAUAACUGUCAAUGGUUGCACACUCUGAUAUUUUCUAGUCUUUUCUUGAUCAAACAAAUUUGAGGGCUGGAAGGGUUCUAAGUGCCAUCGGAAGAUGUGAAUGAAAAAUAGGCCUAAAAGCCUCUAGACAUAUUGAGGAUGCAUCUGAUGACCAGUGAAUCUGAUAGCAUACUUCGAGUCAAGGCAUUUCUUGAUGCACUCGUAGCAAGCAGAGUCUGUUUUUGCUACUCCACGAUACAUUCAUAGAACCCACCACCAGAAGGCUAGGCAUUGCUAAGAUGAUUUUUCAAACUCAAUGCCUUGAAAUUUUAGACUUGCUUAGUUGUGCAUUAUUGAAGACUUCAAUUUGUUUAGUUGUCUGUUAUUGAAGAGUAGUCCAUGGAUCUAAGGAUGGAAGUUUAGUCCAAGAAGGGGGGAGGAACAUGUACAAAAACAGUGUUGAGAAAAGGAUAUUUCUUUCUUUCUUUCUUUCUUUCUUUCUAUGUUUUUGCCACCAAUUUCAAACUAGUAACAUUGGAGUAGUAGAGGGUAUGUAUCUACUUUACAAAGAAUUCGUGUUUGAUGCCAUUUGUUUAAGAAAAAAUGGUUUGGUUUAGAAUCUUAACUAAUAAAUCAAAUUUUAUUGGAUGGUAUUCAUAUAUGGGUUGAAUUAGGAGGUUUAUUUGUAAAAAACAAACUACUUAGUAGUCACCAUUCUAAAUUCUUUAGAAGUGGAUUACAAUUUUUAUUAGAGGUUGAAGCACUUUUAAUAUGUUGUGUUGAUUUUAAUGAAUUGUAAUCUACUUGAUUCAAUUUAUAUAAUCCAUUGUCCCUCACAUACUACACACUUAUUACUUUAGGACAGCAAAAAUUUACAUAAAUAAUAAAAUAGUGAUGGCUUUAGUUGGAAAAUUUAUUGGAAGCUUAGUGAAUUAAUUAAAUCCAUCUCUUCAAUUUUUAUAGUCCUAGAUUUAAAUCUUAAUAGUACUUGGACACCACACUUAUGUAAAUUUUGUAACUUUUUUUUUUUUUUUUUUUUCGAAAAAUCUAAUUUAACUUUAUUUCUUCCAUUCUUACGAGGACUAAACUUAAUGUCCUUUUGUUAUAAAAGUAAAAAAUUAAAAAUAUUUUGGUCUAUUCAAAGUGUUGAAUUAAUAGAAAUUCUAUGCUGAAAAUUCAUCUUCAUUGGCUUUUUUGUUUGAAUUUUUUUUAAUGGCCAGAAAAACAAUUGUAGGAUUGAUAUUUAUUUUAUUGCUAAAUCUUUUAUAUUUAAUAAUAUUUUUUAAUAAAUUUUUUGUAAAUAUUCAUGGUUAAUUUAUAUAAGUAUCAUAUGUAGUAAAUAAUAAUAUUAUUUUUUAAUCAGUUUUUAUAUUAAAAUAAAAAUUUAAUAAUUAAAUUAAUAAAAAAAGUAUCUGAAAUCUAUACAUGAUUAUUUAAUCAUAGUAGUUUUAUCAUAUAAUUUUUUUUCUAGUAAAUAACAUUAUCAUCUGUAAGUAUAUAUAUAUAUAUAUAUAUAUAUAUAUAUAUUAUGAAUGUUUUUAUAUAUUACAUAUAAAAAAUAAAACUUAAAUUAUCAUUUAGCAAUCAAUAUAUAUAUAUAUAUAUAUAUAUAAAACUUUAGAUUUUAAGUUAUAAUUUCUAUUCUAGGUUAAUAAAUAAUAAUUUAUUUAAUAUAAGUUUAAAAUUUUAGAAUAUGAAUUUAAAAUUUUAGUUAAAUACUCAAUAUGAUAAAUUAAUAAUUAUGAUAAAUUUUAUUACAAAAUGCUUUGUGUAAGUUAUAUAUAUAUAUAUAUAUAUAUAUAUAUAUAUAUAUAUGAUUUAGAUAGUAAAAUAAAUAUUUACUCUAAAAUAAAAUAUUAUAGAUUUGUUAAAUUAUUUUGUUAAAUAAUAUAAUUUAAAUGUGUAGAUAGACAAGUAUCAUUUAAUAAAUUUACAAAUAUUUUAAGUUCAUAUUAUAAUUAAAUACAAAGUAAUUUUGAAAUUGAUUUUUUUCAUAUAAUAUAAUGAAUAUUUUUAUAACCUAUAGUUUUUAAAAAACACAACAUUACAAAUAAAAUAUGAGUAAUUUUUAUUGCACAAAGUUUACGAAAUUGUAUUUAUUUAAUCUAUUCUAUCAUGUGUAAUAUUUAGAACUUAGUAUCGAACAAGAGGAUUUAGUGUAAAAUAAAUUAUGUGAAAAAAUACAAAAAAUCAAAUAAAAUAAACUUUUUUCAUCAUUGCAUUGUUUAAAUGAAUCUAACACAUGUUUUGAUAUAUAUUCUAUUAAAAAUAAAUAAGCAGUUCCCAUUGAUAUUUUAGUCCUUUAAAAAUAUUUGAAUAGAAAUUAUUUUUAGUGCUAAAUCCAUAUUCAAAUAAAUAUAUAAUUUUUUUGCUAUAAAAUUGUUGACAAAACAUACAUUUUUGAAUUUUAAUUUGUGUUCUUAAUAGAAGGUAAAAUUCUACAGUUUAUUUAAAUAUAAAUCUGAUCACGAUUAAAAACAUUAAUACCAACUAAGGAGGAAAAUGUAGUACUAAAACCAUUCAAAAGCAUUUACGUGUUAAUCAAUUUUACCUUAAACAAUUAUUAAAUUUAAAACUGCAAGAAGGUAUCCAAAUUUGACAACAUUGCACCACAAUAAAUUUAUGUGAACAAUUAAAAUUUCAAAACUCAAAUAAAAUAAUAGGUUACUCAUCCAUCUAUCUAAUCAUUUAUUUCUGUGUUGGAUGCAUUAAACUAAUGCACAAACAAACAUAGCUAUUCUGUACAGUGGAAAAUACUGAUGUCCAAUUGUUAUUAACAUAGUGCUUUGAGGAAUAUACAUUGUUGAAGUAGGAUAGGCUACGUGUUGUGAUUCAUUCUCCGAACGCAUCUAACCACCCAAAUCCUUCAGCAUACACAUGAAUGUCUCUACCACAAUACACGCAAUGAAUAGCAAAUUUCAGAGCACCAACACAAAGCUUGACCCAUAAUUAAAAGAACUUGAGCAGAUCAGCAGCAGUGGCUAAAGCUCCUGCUGUGAGGGCGGUGCGGACCAUCUUGUCUUGGUUGAUAAUCCCAUCCGACACAGACAGCAUCGCGCCUGUCACGACACCUCCAACCGCUGCAUUCUUCUGUAGCAUAAACCAUACAAAAUAACAUGCAACCACUCAUUUCAAGCUCCCAGAAUAGACCUUUCCAGCACCCAUUUCAUACAAAAGCUUGAUAGUGACCCAUGUUUGUUGAUUCAGCAGAAAAGACAAAAAGAUCAGAGCCCAGGAUGUGGUGCCUUCAACACUCCAUGUGGGGGCCCUCUUGAUCGACUCUCACGUUUGUGGAGCUCAAAGGAGUUCAGUGUGGCCGCAUGAAACAAUAACAAAGUCCAUUAAAGUCUUUACCGAUAAUUGAUGCUGACAUACUUGUUUGUGUUUGGAGAGUGAUUGUUACCCAAUCUUGCUUGCCUCGGGCUCUCUCCAUGCCGUACUCAAUCCCGGCGUAGAUCCCUGCUACCAUGCCUACAUGUUGGGAAUCAGCUGUUGUGGUUGCUUAGUGAGUGAAUAGAGAAAGUUAAAUUUGGUCUUGUGCUUCUUUCCUCCAGAAACAACCGAAGUUUAAGGUUUCAAUCUGUUGUUGUACAACCGAUUACUGCUCGCAAAUCAUAGGAAACAGAGGGAGAGUGUGCGUGUUCUUAUUUGAUGGAGAGCUCUCACAAUCCAUCAAGGGUGUUACUUUAUUUCUUGGGACUUAGAGAUUUUUUGAAAGGUUCACAAAUUGGAAGACACUAUUCUACCUUUUUCAUGUUUGUGUUAUCUAUACGCUAAGAUGAGCGACGCCAUAGUGGAGUUUUCUUUUUUUUUCUUUUAAUUACUUGUUGGUCAACAGUAUGAGGUCAGGUGUGUUACCCCAUUGAAGACCCUCUCUUCCGGCCUUUUUGACCUGCGCCAAUGGAUACAAAAUUCAGGAACUCAUGUAAGUAAACUUAGCCUACUUUUCCCUUGAAGGCGAGAUAAUAAGUGUCGAAGCUCAUGUCUGUGGUGUUGAAGAUUUGACGAGCCGCUCAAAUUCUAAAUUUAUUUUAAAGAUUGAAGUUCCUCAUUUUCCGUGGAGCUUUAAAGACGAGAAUGCAAAGCUCCACUAAUUCCAGCAGACAGAUGACCUUUGUAUCCUCGAGUUCCUUGCAUUCCCAACCAGCGCUUCCCCCUGAAACAUUCUUAAAUGAGUAUGUCCUACAGUCUUUGCGCUCAGAACUAAUGCACAAAUUGUAGAUGCAUCACGAAAGUGGGCAUGGGAUAAUCAUACGAUUCUUUCAAGGUCGCAUUUUGUCGUCGGCACCUCUGCAUCAUCCCCAAGUCCAAACAAGCCACAUGUCAUUUCUGUGGAUACAUACAGUGACCUCAAGCAUGCAUUUUACAUCAGAAGGCUUGGGAAAUUUUGCUGGCUACUGUGAGAGUCCAUUUUCCUGGUCUUUGAAUUCAGAAGUCGGCGUGGGGAUCGAGUCAUAUUCGAAUCAGUUGGCAAGGACAACCAGAGAAAUAGUGAUUGUUUUAAGAGUGGGGACAAAGUUCUGCAAGAAGAUCAAACCACCGUGGCAUAUAUACGGCACUUUAAUCCGAGGACAAUGAGUCGAAGGGCUGGGGUAAUAACCUUUUGAACUUUUUAAACCUCAGUUUUAGGUUAAGCCUCUGUACCUUUCUUCAACAAACUGUAGGCUUCUUGUGUCGCGGCAUGAGCAGCUCCAAUCUGCAUGCGCAGAUACCCAUGUCUACUAGUUUCAGUCUUCCAACCCUUGAUCUUCAAGUUACUGUAAGAGAAGGACAUUUUUCAGAGUACCCACUAUGGUCUAUUCUUCAUUUUGAGCAUACGUUCACUGAAGAAAUCAAUGUAUGUGUGUACCCCACUGAUCUUGAGAACGCUAUCGAGGGUGCAGUUCAGUUGUGGAUUCCCUGUGUCCAUGUAAACAUUCAUAGAAUUAGGCGUUGCGUUGAGUGAGAGUCUUGGGUUCCCCAUUCCUUCACCAGUCCAACUUCCUGAAAACUGGUCUUCACGAUCAAAGAAAUGUGGAACCUAUUGAGCAUAGAAUUCAAUUGUGCAGCACCGUUAGCAUAUGAUUCAGCCCCUUGGUUGUGAAAGAAAAAGAAAAGUCAUAAGGCUCUGGACAUCCGUCAUUCAAAUUGUGUAGCAUCGGAGGUUUUACAUCAUUUCUAACAGUACUGUUCUUGUUGAAUGAUCUGCUUCUGUAGACCUAGCAGUAAUUCAAUUCCAUGAGUAAGACUGGCAUUCUUGAUGUCAAAAGUAUUCCAAAGAUUAGAUCCAGUAUAGUGACGCUACAAUUGAAAACUUACUUCUAACAUCUAAUUUAAUGUCGCACUCGGGUUCCGAAUUCCGGUGGCCUACUCUGAUUUACUAAAAAGUUUGUAGCUUAUGAUCGACAAUCUUGAUAGGCACUCAUCAAUUACAGCACAAGUUCGUUUAGAUUUCUCGCCCUAGUUCAUACCGAAAUCUGAGACGGGUAAUAACGAUCCACAUAUAAGGGAAUUUGAAAAUGACGACCGGAUGGCAUGUUGACCUGGAGAAGGUAGUGGGGUGUUUCUGUAUUGCGUACCAGUUGCAGCAUACCUUUGAAGUGUUCGCUGAAACCCUCAGCGAAAUCUGACGCAGCCGUCGACGCGGAUAGCAACCCAAGCAUGCGUAAGCCUUGAACGAAUACAACCUCCUGUGUCACUCCCAUUCCGCAGCCCUUGAGAUCGACAUUGUACAUGCUAAUUUUCCUCCGUUCGCUCAGUCGGAGUUUAAAGAAUCAACUCCUCCAAUUCAUGGAUCAGUAACUUUCGGAAUUUGCGAAAAAAAUUCAAGGUCCCAAGUCAAUCGCGAAUUCUGACAAACCUAGAGAUGAACCCAACGCAAAUUCGAAUCAGCAAGACACGUACGAAGCUCGUAACCUUGGAUAAAUGCAGGUAUGUUUCAUGCAAUUUCUACACUUCAACGCUUCGCCUGUCGGCGCUGCAUUACACCAGCAGUUGAUCGCCGACACACACCAGCAGCCCUCAUUCAAGUUCCUGAACCACCGAUGGCAAAGAACGUGAACUAGCACUACCAACCUGGUUCCUGCAACCGAGAUACAACUCAACAGUGGCACAAUGGAAUACGAUGAUGGGUUAUUAAUCCAUCACUGAGAACAGCCGAUCGCCAGCACAGGCAGGGGUUUGAGAUUGAGAUAGGCAGAAUGAAUUAGAAACCGCCACUCGUUCGGGACCCCAGAAAAACCUAACGGUUCCCCUACGCUCCUCAUGAGAACCCAACAUCGCAUCACUCAUUGCACAUCUAUUGGCAUCAUCCCACUCGACCUGCUCACGUGAACUCGGCCAGUGGAUGCAGUGGCAUGCAGUGACACAAACUACGAGCGACGAUUUUUCAAAUUGAGCUUCAUUUCAUUAACCACCUUCAAGAGCUAUGAAUCAUCUGUAAUUCGAUUGCAAUCAAAGUCUGAAUGAAUUGGAUUCCCACUGCUGGAGUCGUCUUAGAAAACAGGCAGUGGUGGUUUGAGGAAUCGUUUUGAUUUCCACGCUAGAAUACACCCAUCGACCAACUGGACAAAAAGGAUAAAAUUGCUAUGCAGGUUAUUGCACCAGCUGAAAACUUAAAUCCUGUUGGUGAAACAAUCCAGCACCUUCUCUUCGUUAACCUGCCACGUCAACCCUAGCUAGAAAGUAAUCCUAGUGUGAACAGAUAUUUCUUGUAUAAUCUCAUUUUCAAUAAACAAGCGAGAUUAUGCAACAUGGUAUCAGAGAGUAGCGUUACUCUUAAGUAGGUAGAGGCAUCGAGAAGGUGAGCUCUGCUUCCUUGAAGGUGAGACAACUGGAUACUGGACGAGGAAGAGUCUAGACAUACUUUUAUUUGUAGUUCAUGAUGUCCGACUCCAGGGAGAAGACCUUGAACUGUGAGGUGGGUGAAUCCAAUAACCUGAUAGCACCACAGAACUAUAAUGUCUAAAGUUUAAAAAUGAAAGCAUGUUGAAUGUCCUAUACUAUAUGUAUCAAAAGCUAUGACUUAUCUAGCAUUUAACUAAAACAUCAAAAGUGUCCUUUCUUUGGUUUCAUGCACUUUUUGAUAGCAACAAAAGAGUUCAUCCUACUUUCAUGUUUUCAUCAUGUUUUCAUAAUAUGGUAUCAAAUUUGGAUGAAAAAUAUCAAGGAUGAAUAUCAUUGAAUAAGAUUUGGAUGAAAAUAGAUAUUUUAUGGAUGAAAACUUAGAUAAUCUAUUUGUUGUCAAAGCUCCAUUACUGCUAGAACAUUGCCAAAGUUGAGGAGCUGUUGAGGCCCUGUUGGAGCUCUGUUGGAGCUACUAGAGCUAGAAUUUAAUUCUAUUAAUGGUGAUUUUUAUUUAAUUAAAUUCUAUUUAUUGCUGGUGGUGAAAACAAGUUUUUUUUUGCUCCAAUAUAGCUUGGUACUACAACUACUCUCCAAAUAUUGUAUUUUGUAGAUCAUUUUUUAAUUGAUCCCUUAUAGUUAUUUGUUGCUAUUGCAUUAUUUGUAUUUAGCAAUGGCAUCUUCAAUGAAUCAUUGCAUUAAUCAAUUACAUGAAAAAAACUAUGAUACAUGGGCAUUUGUUAUAAAAUACUUGAUAUGCAUUUGUAAGCUCUAUACGCAUGUAGAUGGGACAUUAAAAUGUCCUAUGGAUAUUAAUGAAAAAUUAAAAUGAGAAUCAAGCAAAGCACAAGCAUAAGCAUUGAUUGCACUUAAUAUUAAGCCUUCAGAAUUAACUCAUAUAUGCAAAUGUAAUAUUGUAAAAGAAAUGUAGAACAUAUUGGCUAUAAUCCACAAGCCUUUAAGUAUUAUUAUUGAGAUAUUUUUAAUAAAGAAAUUAUACAAUCUUUAAUAUGUAGAUGAAAAAUCUAUCAAGAUCUUUUUUGAUGAGAUUUUUGAUCUUAGGGAUCAAUAUAUUGAAGCCGGUGGUGAAAUGGAUAAACAAAGUAUGGCAUUUCUUAUAUUUAUCUCAAAAUCUUGGGAUCCACUUAUUACCAAAAUUUUAUUAUCAAAAUCACCAUUUUUUAUUAUUAGAAUCUUGGGAUCUACUUAUUCAAUCAAUUGUAUUGAGGAAAAGAAAAGAAAUCAUGGAGGACGUGCUAUCUAUUCUCCUUGAAAAAAAGAUGAGAAAGAGGGAAAAGAUUAACUUUCUAUUUUUUCCUUUAGUAAUGCAUGUAAGAAGAAAGUAAGUCUUAAAGAAGCACCAUCCACAACAAAAACAAAAGCCUAAGAUUGAUAAGUAUAAAAGUAUUUGUAGGGCUUAUAGAUAGAAGGGACAUUAGUAAGGUGAUGCAAAAUGUCCUAAAACAAAGAACAAUGGUAUGAUAAAUACUAGAGUAAGUAAAUCUUAUCUUUUGCCUUAUAAAAUUGAAGAAGUUUUCACAAUUUCUAACUCAUCUAUUUAAAGUCAUAUACUUAUUGAAUGGCAUUAAGCAUUAGCACAUACUUCAAUGAAUACAAUAAGAGAGGCAGAGAAAAUGAAUUAUGUUGAAGGAUUAAAGAUCAAGGAAAAAAAGAAUAAAAUAACUUUAUAUAAGUUAUGUAUUAUUGGCAAGGCUCAUAGACAACCAUUCUCACAUAAGAAAAAGCAUAUCAAUUAUAUUUUAGAUGUAAUAGUAUUUGACCUUAGUUAUUCUAAUAUGACUAGCUUUGGUGGUACCAAAUGGUUAGCUGUGUAGAUUGAUGAAUUUUUUAGCUAUUGUAGCCUUGAAUUUCUUUAAAUUAAGGACCAAAUAAAUAUUUUUUUAUAAGACUCGAAAAGUAGAGGCACAAAGAAGAAUUGGAAGAAAUGUAAAAACUUUUUUCAUUGAUUAAAGCAAUGAAUUCUGAAAUAAUAAGCUUGGUUCUCAAUUCAAAGUAGAAGGCAUUUGGCACAUAAUCUCUCUUGCAUAUAUACAUGAAAUUUUUAAUAUGGUAGAGUGUAUAAUAUAAACUAUUUUUGAAGGAGUACAAAUACUUCUAAAUAAUGCUAAGUUAGAUUGUCAAUAUUAGGUAUUUGCAGCAAAAUUUGUAAUUUGGAGUGGUAAUCACCUUCUACUUAGAAAUCUAGAUGGUAAGACAUUAGAUGAGAUUUUUUACAAUAAAAAUUUUUCACUUAAAAAUAUUCAUUGCUUUGGUUUUCUUGCUUAGUAUUACAUAUCAAAAAAAAAAAAGGAUAUUUUUGUUGGAUAUUCAAAAGUAACAAAAGAAUAUAAAAUUUUUCUAUCUAAAAAGAAGAAGGUGAUUUUUAGUUGAGAUGUGAUUUUUUUUAAUAACAAGAAUGAAUUAUUUGGUGAGCUAUUAGUUCUUUAAGAGAAAAUUAGAAAAGAUAUGGAUUAUAGAAAUAAUCUUGAUAUAUUAGAUUUUUAACAUCCAAAUGAAUUAAAAAUAUUCCAAAUUCAAGCCUCAAGAUUAUUUAGACAUAAUGGAUUGGAUGGAGAAAUGGUUGAAGGAGAAGCAAAUCCUAUACCAAUAAAAGUAGUGGAAUUCCAUCAAUCAGAAGUGGAGGGAACCACUGAAGCUCUACUGCUAAGACAUUGUUAUAUAAGUGGUAUUGAUCCAAAAAAUAUUAUAAGUGGUAGUAGGAUGCAACGUACAUCUUAAAAAAAAGAAAAAAAAAAUAUUUGAGUAAAUUAUGACUUGCCAAUUGAAACAAUGGAUAUGAUUCAUAUUAAUGAAUAUGCAGAACUAUAAAUUCUUUUUUUUUGUAAAGAAUGAAGUCAUGCCAUGAAGGAAGAAUUCAAUUCUUUAAAAGAUCAUGGUAUAUAGGAAUUUUCAUUUUUAUCCAAUGGUAGGAAGGCUAUGGAUUCAAAAUGGAUUUUUUUUAAAAAAUCUUGCUAGUAAUGGCUCCAUUAAAUAUUUUAAAGUACAAUUAGUUGUAAAAGAUUUUAUUCAAGUAAAAGGACUUAAUUACCAAAAAACUUUUGUAUCAAUUACUUGCCUUAUAAUAAUUUAUAUAUUUGUUGCAAUGGUCAAUACCUUUAAUUGGAAUAUGUUGUAACUUCAUAUUAUUUCAUCUUAUUUAAAUGGUGAACUUUAAAAAAUAGAUAUUUAUAUAAAAAUUCUAGAAAGUUUGGAAGUUUAAUUGAAAUAUAAAGAUAAGGUGUUGUAGUUGCUAAAGACUUUAUAUGAUUUGAAGCAAUCUAAACAAGGAUGCAACAAAAGUUUGGAUAAAUCUUUAUUGAAUCUUAGUUGAAAGUGCUGAAAAUUAGAUCUUUAUUUUAAUACGAUAUAUAUUAUAGAACUAAUUAUUAUACUAAUUAUUUAUGUCAAUGACAUAUUAUCAUGGAAAUAUAUAUAUAUAUAUAUAUAUAUAUAUAUAUAUAUAUAUUAUAGAUUAGUAUGCCUAAGAAUUUUAAUGGAACAAGAUCAAAAUUUUGAUGAUUUUUGCAACAAGUCAAGCUCUAUCUAAGGUUGCAUCUUUUUCAAUAUCUUGAUGGAUUUACUCAAGUUGGAUUCAUAGAUACACUUCUAUCAAGAAAUACAAAUCAAGAGAAAGCAAACUUAAUAGAAAAAGAUUUGUGAUUCUUUUAUGAUUUGAAUUCAUUCUUAGAAGUGUUUACUACCACAUUUGGAAAAAGUGAUCAAGAAAGAAGAGCAAAGACCUAGCUCUUAUCUUUACAACAAGGAUCACAGUCAACUAUUAUAUAUGCUGUUAAAUUCCAAAACCUUGCUUGCAAUAUGGACCAGAAUGACAAAGUCCUUAUCAAUUAAUUUUAAUAUAGGUUGAAGGAUAAUAUCAAAGAUUUUUAUUGAUAAUACUCAAGACAAAAUCUUUAGAACAAUUUAUUGCUCAAGCCAUUACAUACAAAAAUUGAUUAUUUGAAAGAUGUCAAAGACAAAGACUUAAUUAGAGAAGAAUAAAUCAAAUAAUAUCGGCUAAUGAACAAGUUUUCAAAAACGUAUUCAUCAAAGCCAAAACUAAUGUAAAUUGAUACGAUAUGUUUUAAAUUCUUCAUGGAACAAAAAAAGAUUCAAUAACUUCAAGAAGAAUUAUGCUUAUAUUGUGGAGAAGCUAAAUAUACUACUCAACAUUAUUCAAAGAAACAAUGCAAUCACAAAAUGAGAAGCAUAGUUGCUAAAGAAGACAAUGUGUCAAAAAAAAAUUUCUUCAAUUACAAUUGAGAUUGUACGGCUAAAAUCUUACAUAACUUCUAGUAAAGAUCUUAUUCUCUCUUCAAAAUCUUCACCUUGUUUUACAAUAGAAGUUUAUUUAGGACCAAAAUUCAAAAAGUCUUAACUUUGUUAGAUUCAAGAGCCUCAACCUAUUUUAUAGAUAAAGAUUUUAUCAAAAAACAAGAGAUAUUGCUAAUCAAGAAAACUAAAUGAAUACAUAUAAAAGUUAUAGAUGAUUAUUUUUCAUCUUUUAGAAAUAUUAUACAUCAAAUUGUUUCUUUAGAUAUAGCAAUUAAAGAUUAUAAUAGCCUAAUAAUAUUUAAUGUAAUAAGAUCUCUAUCCAAAUUGAUUAUUUUAAGAUUAUAUUGAUUAAAAAAAUAUAAUCUUUAAAUAGAUUAGAUUUCUUAUAACCUUAUUUUUUUUAAUAGUUUAAUCCAAAAUCUCAUUAGUCAAAUAAAAAUAUAUAAGUCUAAUACAUCAAAACCAUUACUGAUAGGUACAAGAACUUUCAUGCAUGUCGCAAAAAAGGGUUAUCUUUUGCUUUAUAUGCCACAUCCAUUUUUGAUGGUGAAAAGACAUCAAGUAAUAUUCCUAGCCAAUAUCAAGAUUUUAAAGUUAUUUUUGAAAAGAAAAAUAUAUAUAUUCUUCAAAAGCAUCAUCUUUAUGAUUAUUCCAUUAAUCUUUAUGAAAGAGCUUAACUAUUAUUUGGACCAAUCUAUAGCAUAUUACAAAACGAGUUGGUUGCAUUCAAAGAAUACAUUGAUGAUAACUUGGUUAAGAAUUUCAUAUGCCAUUCUAAAUCUCAAACCAAGGCUCCUAUCUUAUUUGUGAAGAAAAAAGAUGGAUCUCUACAGAUGUAUGUGGAUUAUCAAAGAUUCAAUAAAAUCACCAUCAAAAAUAGAUAUCUUCUAUUUUUGAUUUUAAGACUUUUUAAUUAAUUUAAUCAAGCAAAGAUCUACAUAAAAAUAGAUCUAUAAAGAGCAUAUAAUUUUAUAUGCAUUAAAGAAAGAGAUAAAUGAAAAACUAUAUUUUGAAUUAGGUAUGGAUAUUUUGAAUAGAAUAUCAUACCUUUUGGAUUCAAAAAUGCACCAAUUACUUUUCAACAUCUAAUGAAUGAUGUCUUUUGUGAGUUUUUUUUAUGAUUUUGAUGUUUGUUAUUUAAACAACAUCUUAAUUUAUUCUAAGAAUAUCGAAGAGCAUGAAAUUCAUGUGUGUUAUUUAUUACAAAAACUUAAAGAUGUAAGAUUAUAUGUCAAAUUAAAAAAAAUAUGUAUUCCACACUCCUCAAGUCAACCUCUUAGGAUACAUUAUUUUCAACAAACGACUAAUGAUGGAUCUAAAGAAGGUCCAAACUAUUAUAGAUUAGAAGAUUUUAAGAACAAUAAGAGAUGAACAAUGAUUUUUAGACUUUGUUAGUUACUAUUGAAUCUUUAUUAAGAAUUUUUCUCAAGUUACAAUUCUAUUUACACAUUUGAAUUGUAAAAAUAAACUUGAGUGAAAUAAAAAAGUCAAAGCAUCAUUUGAUACUUUAAAAAAGAAAUUUAUUUUUGUACUAAUGUCAAGGAUAAGAACUUGAUCAAAGCAAAUAAACAAAUAAGACUUUUUUAAAGAAAUAGAAAUAGAAAUGUAUGUAUAUUACAAAAAAACUAGAAUGGCUAUUAUCAAAAGACAAGGAAAUUAAAGAUUCUUGAAAGUAGACUAGAAACAAGAAAGGAGUUAAGAAGAGUAAAGAAGGCUUCACUUUUACUUCUAUAUACACUAUCUAUUUAGGAUCUAUGUACAAAUAUUCUAUAAGUCCUCCAAAAAUAUAUUAACUUUGCAUGAUACAUUGUCGUAUUAUGUAUUGUCUUGCUUGGAAAUGCAUUAGGCACCUAGCUAUAGAAGAUGAAAUUGAGUUUCAUAAACAUCCAAAAAAAAUCCUAAUAGGUUUUAUCCAUAUGAAAAGAAUAUAAUCCAAAUUCUAAUUCAAAAGUGCUAAAAAACACUUUUUUUAGUAGCCUCAAUUACCUUGUUAUUUUCAUAUUUAAGCAAUUAAAAUUUUUCUUAUAAGCCCCAAUCAUAAUCAAUGAAUUUUAACAAGCUGUAACUUCUAAUCUGACUUUCUACUUGAUGUAAAAUUUUGCGUGCUAUUGUCAAUAUAAGUCUUCUAUAUGCUCAAGAAUUUUUAGCCUAAUCCAACUUAGAAAUUGUAAAAAAACCUCCAAAAAUUGCACUAAUGUCACUCAGCUGCCAACUUGAAAAGUGAAGUAAAAAUCCGAGUAGUGUAAUCUCCUUUUCCAACUAUUAACUUUGACUCAAAAUUUUUGUGCAACUUGAUCUUCAAGUCCUUCAACACCAUGCCAAAUUUCACCAUGAUUUGACAAGUAGAUCUCUAAAUAUCAUAGAAACCCUACAAUCUCAAACUACCAACUUCUAAAACCCUCUUAAGCUAGAAAAUAGAUAUCUCUAAACCACACCAUUAGAUUAUCACAAAAUUUUUUAUACACUUAGCAUACCUAAUAAUCUAAAUAGUACCAAAUUUUGAACCAUAGAUGUUACACCUAUUGCACGAACUAGCCAAAAUUACUAGUGCUAGUUAUAUUAUAUAAAAUCCAAAUCACCAAUACAAAUCCUAACUUUGAAUAAUAAUUUUUAAGUUCUCAAAAAUCCUAAAAAAUAAUCCUUAUGUCUUUGAAAAGAUCUUAAAGCUAACUCUUCAAUCAUAAUUCCCGAUCUUCAAAUGCCUUUCUAAUUUGCCCUAGGUGAUCAUUUUAGUAACUAGAGUUUUGAUUUUGAUCCUAUCUCACAAAUGGUCAAUCCUUGGGUAUCAAUCUAAUCUAUUCUAAGGAUUUUUUAGUCCAAUGCUAUCUUCAACUUGAUCCUAGUAUCAACCAUAUCAACCAUUUAUCUCUUCUACCCUGAUUUUAUCAAUUUAUGGCCUUUCUAAGGUAGUAAAAGAGUUUCUAUAUCCUAGAAGGUAAAAAUACUAAUUAACUUUUAUCUACUUGCUAUUAAGACAAGAAAAUAGGCUAAGAGACUUUUAUAAAAGUCUUAUAAAAAUAUUUUGAAUUUUUAUUGAAUUAAUAUAAUAGAAUAUUAAUUAAAAAAAUUAUUUCUAGUCAUAUUUUUACCAUAUAAUUGCAUCACAACACGAUAAUGUAUCUUAACUUGCAAGGCAAGUUUUCUAUAUGGGUGCUACAUAAUUAGCUUCUUCUACAAGCUACCAAUAUAUGUGAUAUAUGGUUAGCUUAUUGACUAAGUUUUUAACCUAUCAAUCAAGUAUAAAUAUAUGUAAAGCCUAAAGAGUAUCUAGAAAGCUUCUAAAAAGCUUAUCUAAAAGAUAUUAUGAAAUUAAUCUAUUUUUACUUAAUUCUACAUAUUCAUAUUAUAUAGAUAAUAAUUACAAUAGAUAUAUACUCAUGACAUUAUUCUACCCUCUAGGGACGAGUUCCAUAAGAAGUGGUGAUCACAUGUUGAAAAAGUCUAAGAUGCGACAAAUUAUAUUGGUAAUAUUUCAAAGAUAGAAAACCACCUUGUUAUUUGAUCAUUAUUGAAACCUUUGUAACUUCCUUCAAACAAAACAUUUGUAAUACCAUGAAGAAUCAUUCUUAUCUCCAAUAAAAUCACCAAACAUCAAGAGUCUAUUCCCAGGUCGUAAUACCAAAUAUAUUGUAACUUGCCAUCUAUUCAAGGAAGAACCUAUUAUUCUUGAAGGUCUUCAUUUCUAUUACAUCAUCUUAAAGGGCAUAAUAAAAAUAUUUCAUUUAAUAAGUGAACAAAUAAUGGCUUUUGAGUUGAAUCCAUUGAAUGUUCAUUUUCCAUCUUUUUAACACUAUAAUUAUAUAAAAACUAUAAACAAAGACAAAAGUUAGAAUGUAUUUUUUAAAAAAUUUUGUUUUUUUCAUAACAAAGAUUUUCUAUCCUUCAUCUUGGUUUUGAUAGAUAUUAUUGAUGGAAAACUUUGAUAUUCUCUAUUGUAUUUGUAAGAUUUUUUACUAGCUUCUAUGUGCAUUCUCUAAUAUCAUAUCUACGCCAACGAAUAAGAUAUUUCAACCUCUGUUGGCAUUGCCUUGAGUCUAAGACUUCUUCCACCUUGAGUUCUUGAUUAUUAUCCACUUUUGUAGAAAGUGGUGGUAUUUCUCUUCUUUUUGGGAUAUUCACGAUCUUAUAUGGCUCUGAAAGAGAUAUGUUGUCAUAUUACGUGAAGUCUUCUUUGAGAAUGCAUUAAGCACCUAGUUGUGGAAGGUAGAAUAGAAAUCAAAAUAACAAAAUCUUAACUCUAAUAGAAUAUUAAAUAAAUUCUAAUUAAACCUUAACAAUGCUAAGUAAGCUUUAAUCAAAUUCAAAAGAAACCUUAUAAAAAUUAUAAAAAAAAUAAUAAAAAAUCUUAAAGAAGUUAAAAAAAAUUAACAAUAAAAUUUAAAAGAAUCCUUAAAAAAAUCAUAAAUAAAUAUUACAACAAUCACAAAUAUAUCUUAAAUAAAUUUCAACCAAGUUUUAAUUUAAUCCUAGUUAAAAUCUUAAUAGAUUUCAAUAAAAUCCUAAUUAAAGCUUAAAUCAUAAAUCUAAAGUAAAUCCUAAGUCUUAAAUCCUAAAUAAAUCUUAAAUCCUAAAUCUUAAUUAGACUUACCAAAUGAAAAAGAAAUCAAAAUCCCCUCAAGUAUCAAUUUGCCUCCUUCUUCAAUUUUGAUGUUCAUCUUUUAGUACCAAUAUUUCUUUCUUAUACCAUUCAAUUUUUUUUUCAAAUUCAUAUAUAUGUAGAAAAUCAAGUCUAUUACAUUUAUAUAUAAUUUUCACUCUAAUCCAAUUAGUAAAUUACUAAAGAUCCUAAAAACUCUAACUAUCUCUCAAAGUCCAAUUUUUGAGACCUAAACCUAUUUGAAAUUCAAUAGCCUUCAAUUCAACCAUUUGAUCAAGCUCAAACUUAUAGCAUAUAUUUUAAAUAACCAUUCUUAUAAAUCUUUGAAAUUUAAACUAUAGAUCUACCACCAAACUCUUAAAAUUCUUCAAAACGUAAUAUCUUUUUUAUUUUAUAAAUUUUAAAAUCACCUAAAACAAUCAUGAUUUUGUGAAGCUUUUAUUAUAUUAUUAUACAUUUAAAUCAAUUAAAAUCAAUGUCUAAAGAAAUCUUAAUAAAUUUUUUAUUAAAUCCCUUUUUUUGAUUUGCCAAAGAACCCUGGAGUUAUCAUAGGUAUAUGGUUUUGUACCUUGGGAUCUAAUUUUGAUUUAGGUUGACAACCAAUCCUCUUUAGAUAUCAAUUCUUAGCUUCUUGAGGUAAUUUUUGCUAAAAUCUAUUCUUAAUUCCUUCCUACAUAUGCUUAUAUCAUUUUAUUUUCUAAUUUACUUUGUUUUGUUUUAUUAAUGGUCUUAAAAAAUGAAUAAAAGCCUAUUUUGUAAAAAGAUAGUAAUAAAAUCUUUUAGUUUUACUAUCUUUUUGAAUAUUACUUAUUUUCUAAGAUAUUUGCUAUAAUAUUUAAAAAUAAGAUCUUCUAUAAUAUAAUGUUUUCUUCUCCCUUUCAUUCAUUUACUAUGUUACAUCAUGGCAUCUACGUCUCCUAAGCUUGUGCACCCUUUGACAUAUACCAAAUUUUUUUUAUUAUAUUAAUAUAGAAUAUUCUUUGUCUUGAUCAGAUUCUUGACCUUUAAUUUACUCUUCUUUUGUCAUCUCAAUGUUUUGUAAUAGAUUUUAUUUUUCAUCAAAAUGAAUAUUUUUACUUCUUUAUUUAAAUAACUUGAUUCUCUCACCUGCUAUAGGUAUCUUUAAUUCAGUACCAUCAAUUUCUUGUAACAAGUAUGUUCCAUUAUUAUAUACAUAUUUGACAACAUACGGUCCAAAUCAUCUCCUUACAAAUUUCUUUGCUAUGAUAUAUUGGUUGUCUAAACUACUAUCAUAAAUCAACAUCCAAUCACUAUUUUGAAUUAGUUUUGGACACAAUUAAUAUUUUUUAUUAAACCUCUUCUUAUUUUUCUCCUUUGCCUCUUUCAACUUUCUUAUAGCUAUCUCAAUGUCAUCAAAUCUUCUUUAAACUUGUCAAAUUCAUAAUGCUAAUAAUUCUUUCCUUGUUAAACCAUCUUUUUAAGGUAAUAUAUUACAUAUUGAAAUAACCUCUUCUCUUGGCAUCGCCGGUUUUUGUCUAUACAAUAAUUCCACUGGCAUAUAUUCUAUAACUAUUUUUAUAUUAUAAAUGCUUAUAGUAUGUAAAAAUUAGUUAAAAAAUAUUUUAUGUUCAUAAGUCUUGAUGUGUGUUAGAAUGGUUAAUAAAUUAAUUUAAAGAGAGUGGAUAUAAGAAACAUUAUUUUAAAUUUUAAAUAUUUUUAUUAUAGUCUUUAAAUUAUAUAAGAUUUAGAUGUUUAGUAUAGAGCUUUAAGAGUAGGUGGAAGCCUAAGGAUGAAAAUCUAAACUACUAAGAGGCUUAUAGAGAAGAACGAAAUCAAGGCAAGGUCAGAUGAAGGCAAAAAGUAAUCUUUAUCCCUAUCACUCAAAGGCCAUGCCUAAUGGACAUUCAGUAAGCUGUCUGCGACCAUAAUAAGGAUUUUGGCGACUUCAAAAGAGAUAUUUAAGAAUCAAAAGCAAAAAUUAUAAGGUUUAAAAUUUGAGCUAUAAUUUUCAUAUAAAUUUUAAAAGAUUUGGAAUUAAAGUGAUGAAGUUAUAGCUGCUUGAAGUUAAGGUGUCUUUUUAAGAUAUACUAUUACUAUUUUGAAGAUACGAGGAGUUUUAUGAUAGAUUUUGGAAAUUAAAAGGUAUGACCAUAAGAGUGAUUUCAAGAUCUAUAUUUUUUGUGAAAGAAUUCCUACAUUUGGAGUUUGUAUGAAGAAGUUAUAGAGCAUUAAAAAUAGUACAUGUGAUUCAGAGGCAAUAAGUGAGUGAUUUUGUUGAUAGUAAUGGUUGGAGCCAUAUCUUGAGUUUUUGGAUGAAAUUUUGAUUAAAAUAUCUUAGAAGUGUGUGUUAUUGAGUUAAAAAGCUAUAUAUUAAAAUUUUAUGGUAUUUAAAUACUUGAUUUAUGAGAUAUGAAGAAAUUUACACACAUAUAUAUAUAUAAGUAAGGGUUUGAAGCUAGUGUUAGAAUUUUGGCAAUAUCUCAAGAUCUAUAACAAAUUUAUAGUUGAAAUUAAUUAUGGUAGUUUUUAAAAGUAUAUUAGUACUUCAUAUAAAAUUUGGAUUUUUUUGGAUAGUCUGAUCAUAAGAUAUAAGCUAUUGAAGUUUAGGAAGAAUUUACUUUAAGGAUAUUCAAGUUUUUUAUAGUAUUUUUAUCACAUUUUCGGUGAUCUUUGGUACUUAAGGCUUAUGUAGUGAUGUAAUUAUCCAUAUAGGGAAAAUUUUAUAUAUAGACUUAGUAUUUUCUUUAUUUAGAGGCUUAGUUGAAUAUUUAGUGAUAGCUAGAAGUCCAAUGCUUUCUUAAGAUAAAUUCUCUCUACCACGACAAGUAGAGAUGAGAAAAUUGUAAAUAAAAUUUACAAAAUUUGAAGAGAAGAGGCAAUAAUCAAGAGUAUCAAAAAAAUAAAGGUUAGGAUUGAUGGAAGGUGUAGUAUAUAAGUGCAUGUGGUGUGAUAACAUGGAUCAUUUGAGAAGAUAAUGUAAAGAUUUUACAAAGGUGUUAUGUAAAGGAAUUAUUUUUUUCAAAGAUGGUAUGAUAUACCUAAAAAGAAGUAGACAAAAAUUAGAGACAAACUUUGGUAAUAGAGGUAUAAAAUCAUUGAUGGUUCAUGCAAUAGAAAUAAAGACAUAGGGGAUUGGACUUACACAUGAUUAUAUGGGCAUAAGCAUUGAAGGAGCAGAUCAUAUAAAUUCAUUAUAGCCAAGUAGAAUAAAGUGUUCAACAAAAGAGAAGACUUCUAGAGAUAUAUUAGUUAAUACAAGCAAGUCUAUUUGAUAAACCAUGGAUUGGAAUGAUCGGGUUGAUAGUCUAUCUAUACAUAUAUAUAUUACAAAAAGUCAAAAUGAAGCACUAAUAGAAGAAAAAAAAAUGAGACAUGAAAAUAAUGAAGGACCAUCAAAAAGAAUUACAAGAAGAAAAAAAGUAAGAUAACAAAAGAAUCCUAUGCAUGAAGAAACAACAAAGAAUAUUUCUACAAAAAAAUAUAUGUAUAUGAAUGAAAAAACAAAGAUUUUUGCUUAUAAAUUACAAUCAAAUAUUGAAGCAAAAAUGGAUUUGAAGAAGAUUUUAGAAGAAUACAUUUUAAAUGGUAUGGUAGAAUUUACAUUGGAAGAAGUUUUUUGCAUAGCAAAGAGGAAGUUUCAUGAAGUCAUCAUAGGUAUUAUAAAGAAGAAUCAAUAAAUUUUGGAUGAGAAUAUGGCUUCAAAUGCACAUGGGACAAGAGUGAUGAUAGAUGGAGAAGACAAUGAUUAUGCAUAUGAAGAUGUUUCUUGUAUAAGGAUUAUGAAAAAAGAAGAAGAAAUCCAAACUUCUAGUCAUUAUUCUUAUACUCAUUGUGCAAGAGUAACAAUAGAGAUAUUGGUGAAAUUAAAAAAUUUAAAAGAACCUAUUGUGGCAUUAAUUGAUGAUGGUUUUGAGAUUAAUUUGAUGUCAAAAGAGUUGUAUGAAAGAAAAAAUUGGCCUAUUGGCACCAAGCAUAUGUCAAUAAUUCAAGCAGCAAACAACUCAUAAAGAGAAUUAUAUGAGGUAUGUCUAAAUAUGAAGAUUACAAUAAGAGAUAUUAGUAAUGAAUAAAACUUCUUUGUUCAAGAUAUGUCUACUUAUCCUAUCAUUCUAAGACAAUCUUAUAUUACAACUAAUUACAUAUAAACAAAGGUUAUGGAUAAUGUAUUGACAUAUGUAUAAAUUAGGAGUUGAGAUUGAACAAGAAUAGUGUAAUUUUUGACAAUAUGUGCUAAUCAUAAGAAAAAUUGUGGGAGUUUGAGAGAGCAACCUUUGUCGGAGCAUACUAGAGAAUUUAGAAAUGAGUAUGUAAGGAAUUUUUACCACAUGCCAUUAUAAAGCAAGGUUGCAAUGAUAAAAGAGGUGAUGGCUUGCCACUUAUUAAAAGAAAUGAAGCCAUUGUUGCAUUAUCAUGAGAUGGAUAUACUUUAUUUAAAAAUAUAAAUAAUUUUGAAAGAAUAAAGAAGAAAAAUAUCAAAAAUAUAAAACAUCAGUUGAAGAAAUGUGGAGUACUUGAUGAAGAUGAAUACAUAUUAGGGAUAUUUAAAAAAAGUGGCUUUGGUGAUACUAUGGAUAAAUUGCAAGUAUUAUUGGAUUUAAAUUUUGAAGGUGAUGAUAAGGUAGUAAAUAUGCAAUCUAAGGAAUUUUAGAAUAAAAUGAAAGAAUAUAUUGAUAGAUAUAAUGUAAAGGUGGAAACUAAGUACAAGAUUGUUGAUAAGAAGGUCAAAUUAGUGGCAUUGCCACUACCAUUAGAUUAUGAAAAGAGAGUUGAAAGGGCUUCUAUGCAACCCAAUUUGAGAGAUCCAAGAAAAUAGGAUAUAAAUUUAAAGAUAAUUUGACAUUAGAUGGAUUGAAGGUUAGAUGUGAAGACUUUUUGACAAAAGAUGAAGAAAGAUGUUUCAAAGAGAUGUUUUUUUAGACAUAGCAAUGCAUUUGCAUUUGAAUCAAAUGAAAUAAGAUAUAUGGAUCUAAGUAUGGUGGCUCCUAUGGUUAUUUUCACAAUUCCACAUAAACCAUGGAAUUUAAGGCCAAUUUCGGUUCCAAAGGCCCAUUUUCCUAAGCUUGUUGAAUUAUUCAAUGAAAAAAUUAAGAUGGAAAUUUUAGAACCAUCUGUUGCACCAUAUUCUAAUUGAUGGUUCAAAAUACCUAAAAAAACAAAAUAUUGAGGUUUAUUCAAGAUAUGCAACCGAUAAUUAAAGUGACUAUUAAGAACAUGGAUUCUAUUUCAAUAGUGGAUGAAUUUGCAAAGACAUUUAUAAGAAAAAUAAUUUAUUAUAUGUACAAUCUUUAUUCAAAAUAUAAUCAAUUUCAAUUGGUAAUAUAAAGCAAAGAUUUACCAAUUAUAAAGAUGCCAUUAGGAUUGAUCAAAAUGUAUACAUUAGCACAAGAGGCUAUAAGUCUUUGUAGUAUACAUGAUAAAUGGAAUGCAUAAGAUAUUAAAAAAAUUUAUUCCAAGUAUAAUAAAUACCUUUUUUAAAUGAUAUGCCAACUAAGAAAUGUGAACAAGAAAAAAAAGACGAAACAUUAGAUUAAAGAGAUAUAGGAAGUUUGUGGUAGAUCAUAUUGAUGAUUGUGAGAAGAUUUUAAUAAGAUUAAAAGAAUUUCUUUUAACCUUAUCAGGGAAAAAAUUAAUAUUUGGAAUAAAAAAAGUAUUGGUGGUAGGACACAUGUGUACAUGAUACAGACGUAAGUCAAGUAUAGAAAAGAUUGAUAUUAUUAAAAAGAUAAAAGAAUGUACAAAUUCAAUAAAAGUUCAAAGGUUUUUAAGAGCAUGUAUUUUUUUAUCAUAUAUGGAUAUUUCAUUUUGUACAUGUAUCAAAUCUAUUAUAUGAGUUGUUACAAAAAAAUCAAAAAUUUCAUUGAAAAGAAAAACAAAGAAAAACCAUAGAAAAAUUAAAAGAACUUCUUUUUUUACCUCUAACUUUGAAAAAAGUAAAUUAUGAAUAUAGAUCACUGAUAUUGACAGUUGAUGCAAGUCCAUUUGAAAUAGGUUGAAAAAUUAGACAAGAUAAAAAAACAAGGAAAUAGAUAUAUAGUAAGAUUUGAGACAAAGGUUUUGAAUGAUAGGCAAAGGACAUAUGUAAAAAUUAAAAGAAAAUUUUAAAAUAUAAUAAUAGCUAUGAAAAAUAAAAAAGAAUACUUGAUUGGUGUAUUGAUAUAUAUAGAAACAUAUUGUUUGCUCUUAUUAGGCAUGAAUACUAGUUGUUUUAUAUUAGAUAUAGCAAUAUUAAGAUGGAUUGCAUAUAUAAAAUUUAUGAAUCCGGAAUUCAAGCACAUUUUGAAAAAAAAAUAAUAUGGUUACAAAUAUGUUGUCACAAGCACAAUAUGAUGAUGAAGAAAAUAUUGGCACUAACUUUAAUUUGACUUUGUAUGCAAGAAGGGAUGAAUUGUGUUUGACUAAACCACUUCAAUUAUUCUUAAAAGAGUUAUAUGAUGGUAAAUGGUUAUAUAUAGGAAAAUACUUAAGUACAUUAAAGCGACAAGAAGAUUGGACAGAUUAUGAAUUUAAAAGAAUUUGGAAAAAGACCUAUGGAUAUUUUUUUCAAGAUAGAUUUUAAUAGAAGCAUCGAAAACAAAGGGAUUGAAUACCACAACAAGUUGUAUGUGACUAUGGAAUUCAACAAAAUAUCAUUAAAGAAUUUCAUGAAAGUUGGUGGACCGAACAUUGAAGUAUUUGGGCAAUAUUUGCAAAAAUAAAAGAAAGAUAUUAAUGGAAGGGAAUAUAUAAGGAUGUAGCGAAUUUUGUAGGAUCUUAUGAGACUUAUCAAAUUUAUUCAAAAAUUCGUCAUCUAAAUGGAUUAUAUCCAACAUACCAAUUAGCAAUUCACUACAAAUAGAUAGUUGAUUUAGUUGCAAUGCCAACAGGGCUUGAAUAAAAGAAAUAUUUGGUACUUCCUAAGUAAGAUUUGACAAAUCAAGUUGAGGAGAAAGUGCUUCAAACAAAGACUACAGAAAGAGUAUGUCAAUUUAUAUUAGAGGAAAUUAUUUGUUGGUAUGGUUGUAUUAAAAAAAUCACUGUAGAUAGAUAGAAAUUAGAUGCAAAUGAAGCACAAGAAUUCUUUUAGAGGAUGGGCAUUAGACUUGUAUUAACAAUUAUAUACAAUCCGAAAGGAAAUGGUAAGAAUGAAUGUCAAUAUUCUCUAAUUGUUAAAGCAUUGAUUAAAGCAUGCAAAGACAAGAUAGGUGAUUGGCCUAAGUUAUUACCAUUUGCAUUAUGGAUAGAUUUCACAAUUUAUAGUAUAGUUAUGGAAUACAUGCUAGCAAAAUUAAUGUAUGGACAAAAACUAGUGAUGCCAAUAGAAGAAGUUGUAUCAAUAUAAAAUAUAUUACUUUAAGAAGAUGGUUUAAUUCGAGAAGAAUUAUUAGCAUUAUAAAUUUGAAAACUUGAAAGAAGAUCCAAAGACAUUGAGAUAGCUAUAAAAAAGUUGAAAGAGGCAAGAAAAAAACAAAGAGAGAUUUGACAAAAAACAUCCAUUGUAUUCAAAACUAAUUCAAAAUGGUGAUUGGAUGUUGAUUUAUGAUAGUAGUUUGAUCAACCAACAUAUCAUGGCAAAGAAAUUUGCAAGGAGAUAGUUUGGACCUUAUAUUGUCAAAUAAAUAUAUGACAAUGGAAUGUGCUUAUUAUGAGAACUUAAUGGUACAGAAUUAAAGAUAUCUAUAGCGGGUAAGAGAAUCAAGUCAUUUAAAUAAAGAGAUAAAAAUAUUAAUUUUAAUAAAGAAAAAAUAUAUUACAAGACAUUGAGAUAGAAGAAGAAGAAGAUAAAAUUGAAGAUUAAGAAUUUGAUCAAGACGAAAGACACUCUAUAUCAACAUAUUGAAGAAUCAUUGGUGCAUACUAGAGGAUGUAUAGAUUUAGAGAGAGGUAGAUGUCAUGAUGUAAUACAACUAAUAUGUGAAAAAGAUGAAAAAACUAACAUAUUAUUGAAGAUCUUACUUCAAAUAUUGUAAUAAAUUAUCUUAAAAAAUAAAUAAUAGUCCAAAAAAAAAAUAUAUAUUUAAAUACUAUCAUUUUGAAAAGUAGGCUUCUAUUUACUUUGUAAAGCCAUAAAUAAGGCAAAAUAAGAAAGAUAAGAAAAAUAAAGAAUAUGAGCAUAUGUAAGAAGAAUUUAGGAGUUGAUUUUAACAAAAUUUAACUAAAAAAGGAAAAAAAUGAAAUCCAAAGAAGAGUAGUUAUUAAUUUAGAUUAAAAAUAGACCUUGAGAUAUAAAAUUAGGUACCUAUAGUAAUUCCAUAGUUCUUUUGCAUAUCAAAGAUUUAGAUUUGAGAGUAAAAUUUAUUUUGGAUGAUUCUAGAAUUUAUGAAAUAAAAAAGGUAUUACGAUUUGGAAUAUUUCAAAAGUUUGAUAGUAGAUCUAUGGUUCAAAUUUUGAAGAUUUUUGUGAAUAGUUAUUUAGAGUGUAUGUUGUAACUUUGAGCUUGAUCAAAUAAUUGAAUUGAUGAUUAUUAAAUUUUAAGUAGGUUGAAGUCUUAGAAAUUAGACUUUAAAGGAUAGUUACAAUUUCUAAGAUUUUUAGCAAUCUACUAAUUAGAUUGAAGUAAAAUAUAUGUAUAAAAAUAAAAGACUUAAUUUUCUCUCUCUAUAUAUAUAUAUAUAGAAUUUGAGAAUAAUUGAAUAAUUUGAAAAGGAGAUAUUGGACCUGGAAGUUCAAUGUUUAGAUUGAAGUACGAGGCCAGCCAAUACCUAAGCAAAUUUUAGGAUUUUAUAUCUAUUUGAUAAGUGCAAUUAUCUUCAAAUUUAUUUUUUUAUUUUUUAACUAAGAGGUUGAGAGGCCUGUAAAUUUUUAAGCAUGAUAAAAAAUUUAAUCAAUAGAUAUUAGGAUUCAAAUUCGCUCUAGGAUUUGAUUUAGGAUUUAAGAUUUUUUUAGGAUUUGGUGUAAGAUUUAGAGUUUUUUUAAUAUUUGAUUUAAGAUUUAAUAUUUUUCUAGGAUUCGGUUUAGAAUUUAGGAUUUAUUUGGAAUUUGAUUUAAGAUUUAAGAUUUGUUUAAAUUUUGAUUAAAGAUUUAGGAUUUUUUUAGGAUUUAAUUUAGAAUUUAGGAUUUGUUUAGGAUUUGGUUUAAGAUUUAUGAUUUAUUUAGGAUUUAUUUAGGAUUUGAUUUAGAAUUUAAGAUUUGUCUAGAAUUUGAUUUAGGAUUUAGAAUUUAUUUAGGAUUUAGUUUAGAAUUUAGGAUUUAUUUAGGAAUUGAUUCGAGAUUUAAAGUUUAAGAUUUAUUUAGAGAUUGAUUUGAGAUUUAAGAUUUAGGAUUUAUCUAGGAUUUAGGAUUUAUUUAGAGUUUGAUUUAGGAAUUAGAAUUGGUUAGGAUUAAGGAUUUGGCCUAAAAUUUGAUGGAAGUCCAUUAGGAUUUUAAUUAGGAUUAAAUUAGGACUUUAUUGAGAUUUAUUUAAGAUAUAUUUGUGAUUAUUCUAAUAUUUCUUUGGAAUUUCUUAAGGAUUCUUUUAAGAUUU
Molecule: long non-coding RNA, 34519 nt
Filed under: Physcomitrium patens
Lineage: Eukaryota; Viridiplantae; Streptophyta; Bryopsida; Funariales; Funariaceae
Description: long non-coding RNA (PPAT_LNC002827)
Source: RNAcentral